AUUUACCAGAAGACCCAUGUAAACUAAACAAAGAAGCAAGACGUAGAUGGGCAAGAAAGGAAAUAUGGAGCAGUAUAAAUUAGGGCAUUUUGGCUCAUCAACAAGGCACCGUUAGCUUAGAAUCAAAGAAUUAGGGUUGAGAGAGAUUGGGGAUUUCUUUAAGGGUGGUUACCCCUCUCUCUAUACCCAAUGAUUUCGUCAUCGUGCAAAACAAACAGCCCUUAUGCAGAAAGAAAACCCAAGAAUAUACGUUCAUGUUUAGGAAAUGUUUAUUAACGGUUUAAUUAUGGAAAAAAAAAAUAAAAAAUUCUCUACUUGCUUGGCUGAGCUUUGCUUUUUGAGUUCUUUUUGGGGCUGUGAUGAUUUUUCGUUUUUUUGUUCCUGAGCUAAUGGAUCGGGUAUUGAGAUAAUCCGACGCGUAUCUUGGCGUGGCAAACCUGGAUGGCUCUGUGAUUAUCAGAUGCAACCAACGGUUCGCAGCCAUGGCGACGUCAAUUUCUCUUUUCCCGCUUAUUAUACACGGAUCUGAGCCUCGAAUUAGGAUUUCAAUUUUCGGAAGCGUACACUUUGGUUUAUUGAAAUUCCUUGGAAAAAGUGUUGUGUGUGUGUGUGAGUUUUUUUUUUUUUUUUUUUUUUUUUUUUUUAACGAAUGUUGGCAAAAAAAAAAAUAAAUAAAUAAA
This 680-nucleotide long non-coding RNA is filed under the name Olea europaea subsp. europaea. Lineage: Eukaryota; Viridiplantae; Streptophyta; Magnoliopsida; Lamiales; Oleaceae. The record is from RNAcentral.